This 907-nucleotide ribosomal RNA is filed under the name uncultured marine bacterium. RNAcentral's name for it is "bacterial SSU rRNA". It matches the Rfam family "Bacterial small subunit ribosomal RNA", at positions 54 to 1009 of the family's 1533-position model. The record is from RNAcentral.
CAUGCAAGUCGAACGGAGUAGCAAUACUUAGUGGCAGACGGGUGAGUAACAUGUGGGUAUCUUCCCUUUGGUGAGGAAUAACACGAGGAAACUUGUGCUAAUACUUCAUAAGUCUUUACGGAGAAAGCUUUAUGCGCCAAUGGAUGAGCCUGCACUUGAUUAGUCUGUUGGUAGGGUAAUGGCCUACCAAGACUGUGAUCAAUAGCUGAUUUGAGAGGAUGAUCAGCCACAUUGGGACUGAGACACGGCCCAAACUCCUACGGGAGGCAGCAGUAGGGAAUCUUGCACAAUGGAGGAAACUCUGAUGCAGCGAUGCCGCGUGAGUGAAGAAGGCCUUUGGGUUGUAAAGCUCUUUCGUCGGGGAAGAAAAUGACUGUACCCGAAUAAGAAGGUCCGGCUAACUUCGUGCCAGCAGCCGCGGUAAUACGAAGGGACCUAGCGUAGUUCGGAAUUACUGGGCUUAAAGAGUUCGUAGGUUGUUAAAAAAGUUGGUGGUGAAAUCCCAGAGCUUAACUCUGGAACUGCCAUCAAAACUUUUUAGCUAGAGCUUGAUAGAGGAAAACAGAAUUUCUAGUGUAGAGGUGAAAUUCGUAGAUAUUAGAAAGAAUACCAAUUGCGAAGGCAGUUUUCUGGAUCAUUACUGACACUGAGGAACGAAAGCAUGGGUAGCGAAGAGGAUUAGAUACCCUCGUAGUCCAUGCCGUAAACGAUGUGUGUUAGACGUUGGAAAUUUAUUUUCAGUGUCGCAGCGAAAGCAAUAAACACACCGCCUGGGGAGUACGACCGCAAGGUUAAAACUCAAAUGAAUUGACGGGGACCCGCACAAGUAGUGGAGCAUGUGGUUUAAUUCGAAGAUACGCGCAGAACCUUACCAACACUUGACAUGUUCGUCGCGACUUUAAGAGAU